CCCAACCUUGGUAGUAACCAUGGGAAUUUUGCAGGUGUCCUCUAAAGAAAUAUUGUCUUACCUAACCACAAUGGCCUUGACCUUGGAGUACUGCAAGUAUUGAGGUUUCUUCAAGAUCAUGAAGCACUUAACAGUGGUCAUUAAUGGGGGACAUUUCUUAUAUCCAGCUAAGUGGUGUUGUGUAUCUUUACCACAUCAGACCCUCUGAUCUAUGUGUGUGUGUGUGUGUGUGUAUAAGUAAUGUGUAAGAUGUUGAUUGCCUUAGCUUUUUUUUACCAUGUGAUUCUUUUAAGGUGUGCUGGUGAGAAAUGAUAACGUUUUACUCAUUCUAACAAUCAUGUUAUCCUACUGGUAGCUAUUUUAGAGAAAAUGUCUGUUUAACCAUGUGAGUGUUGAUCAAUUUUUGGUGUUCCUGUAAUGAUCAUGGAGCUGUCCAUCACACUAGAAACUAUGGUAUUUUUUCUGAAAACCAUUCAAGAGGUGGUGGUGUUUCUAACAGUGGUGUAGGUGGUGGAGCACUGCAAAAUCCAGGUUGCUGUCAAGAAAUCAUGGUAAGCCUCAUGAUGACUGUUAACAGAACUUUGGUUGCAUCCAGGUAAGUGAUGAUAUGAGCCUAAAGCACCUUACAAACAAUCUGAUCUUCAAAUACUUAGAUUAGUGUGGAUGGUCCUAACAUUUGCAAUAGCA
This is a long non-coding RNA of Lontra canadensis (Northern American river otter), 687 nucleotides long. RefSeq lists it as uncharacterized. Lineage: Eukaryota; Metazoa; Chordata; Mammalia; Carnivora; Mustelidae. The record is from RefSeq and is a predicted model, not a curated record. The transcript is spliced from 3 exons.